This 481-nucleotide ribosomal RNA is filed under the name uncultured Acholeplasma sp. RNAcentral describes it as "bacterial SSU rRNA". It matches the Rfam family "Bacterial small subunit ribosomal RNA", at positions 897 to 1382 of the family's 1533-position model. The record is from RNAcentral. Lineage: Bacteria; Bacillati; Mycoplasmatota; Mollicutes; Acholeplasmatales; Acholeplasmataceae.
AAACUCAAAGGAAUUGACGGGGCCCGCACAAGCGUGGAGCAUGUGGUUUAAUUCGAAGCAACGCGAAGAACCUUACCAGGCCUUGACAUGCAGAGAACUUUCCAGAGAUGGAUUGGUGCCUUCGGGAACUCUGACACAGGUGCUGCAUGGCUGUCGUCAGCUCGUGUCGUGAGAUGUUGGGUUAAGUCCCGCAACGAGCGCAACCCUAUUGCUAGUUACCAUCAUUAAGUUGGGGACUCUAGCGAGACUGCCAGUGAUAAACUGGAGGAAGGUGGGGAUGACGUCAAAUCAUCAUGCCCCUUAUGACCUGGGCUACAAACGUGAUACAAUGGCUGGAACAAAGGGAUGCGAAGCAGUGAUGUGGAGCGAAACCCAUAAAAACAGUCUCAGUUCGGAUUGAAGUCUGCAACUCGACUUCAUGAAGUCGGAAUCGCUAGUAAUCGCGGAUCAGAACGCCGCGGUGAAUACGUUCUCGGGGUUU